AAGUAGGGGGCGAGCGUUAUUCGGAAUUACUGGGUGUAAAGGGUAUGUAGGCGGCCCUUCAAGUCGCGUGUCAAAGUCCAGAGAUCAAAGCUGGGUGUGCGCGCGAUACUGACGGUCUUGAGGGCUGGAGAGGUGAGCGGAAUUCCCGGUUUAGUGGUAAAAUACGUAUAGAUCGGGAGGAACACCAGCGGCGCAGGCGGCUCACUAGACAGUUUCUGACGCUAAGAUACGAAAGCGUGUGGAGCAAACAG
Molecule: ribosomal RNA, 251 nt
Filed under: uncultured prokaryote
Description: partial 16S rRNA
Rfam family: Bacterial small subunit ribosomal RNA
Source: RNAcentral